Microtus oregoni (creeping vole) is the source of this 1036-nucleotide long non-coding RNA. RefSeq lists it as uncharacterized. The record is from RefSeq and is a predicted model, not a curated record. NCBI's taxonomy places the organism in Eukaryota, Metazoa, Chordata, Mammalia, Rodentia, Cricetidae. The transcript has 3 exons.
CAUAGUAAUUAUCGGGGAAAUGAUUAGCAUUUAAUUUUUUAACGAAAACUUUAAAAAGUGAAUUUAUGUUUUGAGAAAAAAUACUAAGAUAAUAUUUAUAUUAUCCUGUCUUGUCAUUAUAAAGCAUAUUUUAGUUUAGAGAAAAUAAAUAUCCUAAACCCAAGUCUCAUUUUUCUUUCUCUUAUUUGCCAGGAGGAAUCUGCGGCAACACUAGCUCAUGAGAUUGGUAUUUCUUCUUUUCUGGUUAUGACUUUUUCCCGCAUACCACAGUCCACAACGCACUUUUCAUCAUGACCCUUACACACACUUCCACAUAUGUGACUGACUCAAAAUUCCACGAAACAGGCUUAUCUUUACUUCUCGGUAGGUACGUUGAUGUUUGCUUUCGUCUACUCUAGUUUUUCAGGCUGGCCCCAAGCCACCGACCAAGCGUCAGAAUUCAAUGAGGCUGAGGCUCAGCGUUCUAAAAACACGGCGUUAAGCAGCACACUUUUUCCUACAGUGUCCACUGACAUUUGUGCUAACAUUUGACUCACUUGAAAAAAUAACACCAAGAAGAUAUCCCAAGAAGAUACUCGCGUGCUUAGAACUACAAAAAUCAACCUAACACAAUCCCAUCCGCAGUCUUCCCAGGUUGUCUGGGCUUCCUGUGGCAAAGACCUAUGGCUUUAACCCUUCACAGAAGACCCCAGAUCUCCCCAGCAUGCUAGGAGAGUCUCCAAUGACAUCUCUGAGUAAGCUCCUACCUUUAGAGGGCUUCACGUUCAUCAUGUCGGGGACAAAUCCUGACAGCCUGUGGCUGUGGUGAAGGCUAAUCUGGAUCGGAUUUUCUAAGCCCUGAAACUGCAUCACCAUCCUGGGCUUAUUCGCGGCAACUGAGAAGGAGAGUAGGCCUGCUGGGAAGAUAACAUGAGCUAAUCAACAUGAAAGCAAAUUCCAGAGACAAAGGGAUUUGAAGCUGAGACUUUAGCACCUGAGCUCUGAAUCAAAAUUGGGUGGCUGAGAGGCUAAGGCAUACCUGCAUCGGUCUCUGGAG